UUCUGACCUCGAAUCAGGUGGGACUACCCGCUGAACUUAAGCAUAUCAAUAAGCGGAGGAAAAGAAACUAACAAGGAUUCCCUUAGUAACUGCGAGUGAAGUGGGAUGAGCUCAAAUUUAAAAUCUGGUAGUCUCUGGCUGCCCGAGUUGUAAUCUAGAGAAGUGUUUUCUGUGCUGGACUGUGUUUAAGUUUCCUGGAUAUGGAACAUCAUAGAGGGUGAGAAUCCCGUCUUUGACACAGACUGCCAGUACUCUGUGAUGCACUCUCAACGAGUCGAGUUGUUUGGGAUUGCAGCUCAAAAUG
Molecule: ribosomal RNA, 304 nt
Filed under: Hydnum repando-orientale
Lineage: Eukaryota; Fungi; Basidiomycota; Agaricomycetes; Cantharellales; Hydnaceae
Description: partial 28S ribosomal RNA
Rfam family: Eukaryotic large subunit ribosomal RNA
Source: RNAcentral